This 306-nucleotide ribosomal RNA is filed under the name uncultured bacterium. Its description in RNAcentral is "partial 16S ribosomal RNA". It matches the Rfam family "Bacterial small subunit ribosomal RNA", at positions 507 to 808 of the family's 1533-position model. The record is from RNAcentral.
GACAGCAGCCGCCGCGGUAAUACGUAGGUCCCGAGCGUUGUCCGGAUUUAUUGGGCGUAAAGCGAGCGCAGGCGGAUUGAUAAGUCUGAAGUUAAAGGCUGUGGCUCAACCAUAGUUCGCUUUGGAAACUGUCAAACUUGAGUGCAGAAGGGGAGAGUGGAAUUCCAUGUGUAGCGGUGAAAUGCGUAGAUAUAUGGAGGAACACCGGUGGCGAAAGCGGCUCUCUGGUCUGUAACUGACGCUGAGGCUCGAAAGCGUGGGGGGCGAACAGGAUUAGAUACCCGAGUAGUCCCUGUCUCUUAUACC